RNAcentral lists this ribosomal RNA (252 nucleotides) under uncultured bacterium. Its description in RNAcentral is "partial 16S ribosomal RNA". It matches the Rfam family "Bacterial small subunit ribosomal RNA", at positions 525 to 776 of the family's 1533-position model. The record is from RNAcentral.
ACGUAUGUCUCGAGCGUUACCCGGAAUCACUGGGUGUAAAGGGUUUGUAGGCGGUUUGUUAAGUUGGAUAUGAAAGACCGGAGCUCAACUCCGAGUUUGUGUUCAAAACUGGCAGACUAGAAUUAGGGAGAGGUAAGCGGAAUUCUAAGUGUAGGGGUGCAAUCCGUAGAUACUUAGAGGAACACCAAAAGCGAAGGCAGCUUACUGGAACUAUAUUGACGCUGAGGAACGAAAGCGUGGGGAGCGAAAAGG